AAACCGCUUAGGGGUUAAGCCCGAUGAACCCGAAUAUCUGAUGUGAGGAAUUCAAUAUUAGUUGUAUUAUUUUAUAUGAUACAAGUGGUAUGCACUUUUCUCAUAGUAAGACAUUGUAAUCCAUUGAUGCUAUAUCUCUUUAUUGAGAUGAUUUAACAUACGGACAAAAUGUUUAUGAUUAUUCUAUCAGUGACACGUUUACGUGUUGCAUGAAUAAAAUUCGUUUUGUACUUGUUUAAAUAGUCGAUGGAUUUUAUUAAAAAUCAUGCUUGCAAUUCACUUUGCGUUUCGUAUUAGUUAUUUUUAAUUUCUAAUAGCAGAAAUGGCAUGUAUUUGAUUAACAAUGCGAUAGAUUUGGGAAGCCUUCGGGACCCGUCUUGAAACACGGACCAAGGAGUCUAACAUAUGUGCAAGUCAUUGAGUAUCUUGUUGAAACCUAAUGGCGUAAUUAAAAUGACUAUAUUUUUAAUUUGGGAUCACAAGUAAUGUUCAAAUUUAUGCAUUAUUUUUUAAUCCCGGGGCGUUCUAUACGAACAUGGUGUAAGCGAUUAUGUCCUCUGUUUAAGAGCGUACCUUGAGCACAUAUGCUGU
RNAcentral lists this ribosomal RNA (591 nucleotides) under Dicerura dentata. RNAcentral's name for it is "eukaryotic LSU rRNA". It matches the Rfam family "Eukaryotic large subunit ribosomal RNA", at positions 402 to 812 of the family's 3401-position model. Lineage: Eukaryota; Metazoa; Arthropoda; Insecta; Diptera; Cecidomyiidae. The record is from RNAcentral.